Molecule: ribosomal RNA, 465 nt
Filed under: uncultured bacterium
Lineage: Bacteria
Description: partial 16S ribosomal RNA
Rfam family: Bacterial small subunit ribosomal RNA
Source: RNAcentral
UCUACGGGGAGCUGCAGUGGGGAAUAUUGCGCAAUGGGCGAAAGCCUGACGCAGCGACGCCGCGUGAGGGAUGAAGGUCUUCGGAUCGUAAACCUCUGUCAGCAGGGAAGAACGGUCACUGUGCUAAUCAGCAGUGAAUUGACGGUACCUGCAAAGGAAGCACCGGCUAACUCCGUGCCAGCAGCCGCGGUAAUGCGGAGGGUGCGAGCGUUAAUCGGAAUUACUGGGCGUAAAGCGCUCGUAGGCGGUAUGUCAAGUCAAGGGUGAAAUCCCCGCGCUCAACGUGGGAACUGCCUUUGAAACUGGCAAACUGGAGUGUGUGGGAGGAGAGUGGAAUUCCAGGUGUAGGAGUGAAAGCCGUAGAUAUCGGGAGGAACAUCAGUGGCGAAGGCGACUAUCUGGCACAUAACUGACGCUGAGGAGCGAAAGCGUGGGUAGCAAACAGGAUUAGAUACCCCUGUAGUC